CAUUUCAGGAUGCCUGCUUAUGAAGAUAGAGUUGUAAUUGGAUAUUAAUGGGAAGUUUGUUUGCAGAUGUUCUUUCAAUUUUUAUGGCGGCCAUGAAGGUUUCUAAGCCAGCUCUGUUCGGGUGUGGAAGGGACAAGCGAUUACGUAUAAAUUGUGAUGCGACGUUGGCAAAUAAAACACUGGUUGAUGGGUGGUUAAAGCUCUGCCAUGACUGUGAUGUGUCGAUGGGAGAAGUGUCGUUGUUGCUGAUAUUAGAUGGACGCAUGGGUUUGGUGGGGUUGCAGUACUGUUGGGUGCUGUUAGCUGUUUUCUCGAAGGUGUUUCUUUUCCCUGCAUGAUUAAUCUACGAAGUUACCUUCCUUUGAAUUUUGUUUUUUCCAUGUGUUGCAUUCAAUUUUUCUUUUUUCUUUCUCUU
Molecule: long non-coding RNA, 415 nt
Filed under: Populus trichocarpa (black cottonwood)
Lineage: Eukaryota; Viridiplantae; Streptophyta; Magnoliopsida; Malpighiales; Salicaceae
Description: long non-coding RNA (PTRI_LNC002523)
Source: RNAcentral